Long non-coding RNA from Anguilla rostrata (American eel), 837 nucleotides. RefSeq lists it as uncharacterized. The record is from RefSeq and is a predicted model, not a curated record. NCBI's taxonomy places the organism in Eukaryota, Metazoa, Chordata, Actinopteri, Anguilliformes, Anguillidae. The transcript has 3 exons.
AGCGAACAUUGCAAAUUAAGCCCCUUUUUCAUGCUUUUGCCGUGUCCUUUUUUUUGAAGGCGGCAGGGAUUCGCGGAACGUGUGUGACCGAAUCAAUGGAGAUCUCGCUAUCUAAUUAAUUUACUGCCCCGUUAGCGCUGCUGACACCCGUUAAUUGAGGGGUAAUUAGCGCGGAGCCGCAAUUAUUCCACCCUCCUCUGGAGUGUCAAUCCGAACCAGUAGGGGGCAGCAUUCAGCUGUAUCCAGCCACCACAAUGGCUGAGGAGAAUGGACAAGAUCAAGACUGUUUACUACAACUCAGAUCAACCGGCCUUUCUUGUUUCUCCAACAAGAUUUUACAUAAGCAGAUGCAACUGGAAUCACUGUAUUAUUUCACUCUUUUGACAUUAGUUUAUGAGGGAGUAAACAAAAUCAGAUGUACUGUAUGUUUAUCAUUAUUUUAUUCGUGGGAGAAACCUCAUUAGGUACAGUGAGCACAUUGAAAUGAAACGGUAUGAGGAACAUUUUUAAUCUCCCAUAAAAUGAGUUCCUGUCAUCAAACAGCUCAAAUGAUAAAUUCUCUUUUAAAAAAGGAAUACCCUAAAUCUUUACAGUCAAGGUUAACUGAGGAAUGCAUAAAAUGUCUUCCUUCAGAAAAGGACACGCUGGAAUUCAAUGCACGUACAGUAUACACACUGUAUGGGAAAGACAUGUAAAGCCCUAUCAGACAUGCAAAAGGCUUCCCACAGUGUGGGUUCUGAUGAGACGGAUGCUUUUGGAAAACCUACCUUUUCUUCCUUUGUUCAAGGUACACAAAGAAAGUAGCCCAGAGGACUGACUUUUCAUGUACAUUUUCUU